Molecule: ribosomal RNA, 435 nt
Filed under: uncultured archaeon
Lineage: Archaea
Description: bacterial SSU rRNA
Rfam family: Archaeal small subunit ribosomal RNA
Source: RNAcentral
UUCGCCCUUUUCCGGUUGAUCCUGCCGGACCUUACUGCUAUCGGGGUGGGACUAAGACAUGCGAGUCGAGCGUCUCUAGCUAUGUUGAGACGCGGCAGACUGCUCAGUAACACGUGGCUAACCUACCCUCAGGACGAGGAUAAACCCGGGAAACUGGGGCUAAUACUCGAUAGGUGAGAAUGUCUGGAAUGAUUUCUCACCCAAAGGGCCUUGGGAACAUGCUUCCAAUGUCGCCUGGGGAUGGGGCCGCGUCCGAUCAGGUUGUUGGUGAGGUAAUGGCUCACCAAGCCUAUAACCGGUACGGGCCGUGAGAGCGGUAGCCCGGAGAUGGGUACUGAGACAAGGACCCAGGCCCUACGGGGCGCAGCAGUCGCGAAAACUCCGCAAUGCACGAAAGUGUGGACGGGGCUACCCCGAGUGCCAUCCGCUGAGGGU